GGACCCACACAAGCGGUGGAACAUGGGGUUUAAUUCGUCAAUAAGCGAGUAACCUCACCCAGACUUGACAUCCUAUUCGUACCUUUUAGAAAUAAUUGGGUCGGUUCGGCCGGAAUAGUGACAGGCGUUGCAUGGUUGUCGUCAGCUCGUGCCUUGAGGUGUUCGGUUAAGUCCGUUAACGAGCGCAACCCUCGUCGUAUGUUGUAUUUCAUGCGAGACUGCCCAUCAUAAAUGGGAGGAAGGUGAGGAUGACGUCAAAUCAGCAUGACCCUUAUGUCUGGGGCUACACCCGUGUUACAAUGGCAUGUACAAACCGAAGCAAGACGGUAACGUGGAGCAAAUCGGAGAAAACAUGUCUCAGUUCGGAUUGAAGUCUGCAACUCGACUUCAUGAAGUUGGAAUCGCUAGUAA
This 411-nucleotide ribosomal RNA is filed under the name uncultured bacterium. RNAcentral's name for it is "bacterial SSU rRNA". It matches the Rfam family "Bacterial small subunit ribosomal RNA", at positions 917 to 1341 of the family's 1533-position model. The record is from RNAcentral.